UUUAGGGAGACCUACACCCCUUACAUAUCGAAAAACACACAGUUAAAUAGAUAGUAAGUUGGUCUAACCUAGGUCGGUCGAGAAUUGGUAUAAAGCUUUCAAAGUAUUAAUGGUUCAGAAUAUGAAACAGAAUUAACAAUAUAGACAGUUCAGCAACAUGACAAAAUUUGUCAGACUGCUGAGUUAGUUCUCAGCCAGAACCUUGAAAACUGCAUAGUAACGCGAAAAUAGCAGGCAGACACAGACAUUCUGAAUGGAUGUUGUGAAUGCAAAUUGUGAAACACCAAAUAUUUGAAU
Molecule: unclassified non-coding RNA, 297 nt
Filed under: Nostoc sp. FI5-VF5
Lineage: Bacteria; Bacillati; Cyanobacteriota; Cyanophyceae; Nostocales; Nostocaceae
Description: 16S-23S ribosomal RNA intergenic spacer
Source: RNAcentral